RNAcentral lists this ribosomal RNA (484 nucleotides) under uncultured bacterium. RNAcentral's name for it is "partial 16S ribosomal RNA". It matches the Rfam family "Bacterial small subunit ribosomal RNA", at positions 30 to 507 of the family's 1533-position model. The record is from RNAcentral.
AUUGAACGCUGGCGGCAGGCCUAACACAUGCAAGUCGAGCGGAUGAAGGGAGCUUGCUCCUGGCUUCAGCGGCGGACGGGUGAGUAAUGCCUAGGAAUCUGCCUGGUCGUGGGGGAUCACGUCCGUACACGGGCGCUAAUACCGCAUACGUCCUGAGGUAGAAAGUGGGGGUUCUUCGGACCUCACGCUAUCAGAUGAGCCUAGGUCGGAUUAGCUAGUUGGUGGGGUAAAGGCCUACCAAGGCGACGAUCCGUAACUGGUCUGAGAGGAUGAGCAGUCACACUGGAACUGAGACACGGUCCAGACUCCUACGGUAGGCAGCAGUGGGGAAUAUUGGACAAGGGGCGAAAGCCUGAUCCAGCAAUGCCGCGUGUGUGAAGAAGGUCUUCGGAUUGUAAAGCACUUUAAGUUGGGAGGAAGGACAGUAAGUUAAUACCUUGCUGUUUUGACGGUACCAACAGAAAAAGCACCGGCUAACUUCGUG